GACGAACGCUGGCGGCGUGCCUAAUACAUGCAAGUCGAGCGAAGUUUUUCUGGUGCUUGCGCUAGAAAAACUUAGCGGCGAACGGGUGAGUAACACGUAAAGAACCUGCCUCAUAGACUGGGACAGCUAUUGGAAACGAUAGCUAAUACCGGAUAACAGUAUUUCUCGCAUGAGAGAUAUUUAAAAGUUGGUUAUGCUAACACUAUGAGAUGGCUUUGCGGUGCAUUAGCUAGUUGGUGGGGUAAAGGCCCACCAAGGCGACGAUGCAUAGCCGACCUGAGAGGGUGAUCGGCCACACUGGGACUGAGACACGGCCCAGACUCCUACGGGAGGCAGCAGUAGGGAAUCUUCCGCAAUGGGCGAAAGCCUGACGGAGCAACGCCGCGUGAGUGAAGAAGGAUUUCGGUUCGUAAAGCUCUGUUGUUAGGGAAGAAUGGAUAUGUAGUAACUAUACAUGUACGAGACGGUACCUAACCAGAAAGCCACGGCUAACUAC
RNAcentral lists this ribosomal RNA (496 nucleotides) under Gemella morbillorum. Its description in RNAcentral is "bacterial SSU rRNA". It matches the Rfam family "Bacterial small subunit ribosomal RNA", at positions 28 to 504 of the family's 1533-position model. The record is from RNAcentral. Lineage: Bacteria; Bacillati; Bacillota; Bacilli; Caryophanales; Gemellaceae.